AUUGAACGCUGUCGGCAGGCCUAACACAUGCAAGUCGAGCGGAGCGGCGGACGGGUGAGUAAUGCCUAGGAAUCUGCCUGGUGGUGGGGGAUAACGUCCGGCAACGGGCGCUAAUACCGCAUACUAUCAGAUGAGCCUAGGUCGGAUUAGCUAGUGGGGGGGGUAAAGGCCUACCAAGGCGACGAUCCGUAACUGGUCUGAGAGUAUGAUCAGUCACACUGGAACUGAGACACGGUCCAGCCUCCUACGGUAGGCAGCAGUGGUGAAUAUGGGACAAUGGGCGAGAGCCUGAUCCAGCCAUGCGGCGUGUGUGAAGAAGGUCUUCGGAUUGUAAAGCACUUUAAGUUGGGAGGCGUGACCAACAGAAUAAGCACCUGCUAACGGCGUGCCAGCCGCCGCGGUAAUAC
RNAcentral lists this ribosomal RNA (407 nucleotides) under uncultured bacterium. RNAcentral's name for it is "partial 16S ribosomal RNA". It matches the Rfam family "Bacterial small subunit ribosomal RNA", at positions 30 to 526 of the family's 1533-position model. The record is from RNAcentral.